GUCCACGUGGUGAAGCGGUCAACACCGCAGUCUGCAAAACUGCUAUUCGCCCGUUCGAAUCGGGCCGUGGACUCCA
The sequence is a transfer RNA, 76 nucleotides long. It matches the Rfam family "tRNA". Rfam says of the family: Transfer RNA (tRNA) molecules are approximately 80 nucleotides in length.